UUUUUGAUUCAAUUUGUGAUUUGAAAAAUUAAUUGUGAUUUAAAAGAAAGAUGGGUCUAAAUGGGACUUUUGAAAAUGCGACGAUUUGACCCAAGAAAAAUAGUUCAAAAAGGGUUUUUUAUAUGAAAAAUGGAGUCGCCACUUGGUAUAGAGUUAGGGUGUACCAAGUCACCCAAAAAAGUGAAUUUUUUAAGGAAAAAAGUAAGAAACCCUUUUGAACGACUCCUAGUCCACGUAAACCAAUCAAAAAGGUUCGGGAGUCACAUUUGACGAAGGGGAAGGCAAGGAUAAAUCCAAGGCACCCCUUUGACCUAGCCAAGGCUAGUUGCGUUGAUUUAAUCAAAGAUUUUCUCGUUUUAACCAAAGAAUUUAUUACAUUUGGAUGUACUACAUGAAUGCAAACCCUAGACCUAGGGGUAUUGGGGGAAAUUUCCCUUCAAAGGUUGAGUGGUGCCAAUCACAUUAAUUGUGAAGCCCAAUAACGAUCCUUUGAAGAAGUCACGAAUAAUGCGAGUGGGAUGCAAAUGAAUGGAAUGCAUGUAUACAAUGUGAUGACAUGCGUUUGAAAAAGUAAUAAAAGAUAAGAAUGUGUAAAUGGAAAUGUGCACGUGAGUGGGCAAGGUGCGGUGUGUGAAAUGAUAAUAUGAAGUACAUGUGUGCAAGUGAUGAUAAAAGUGUUUGUGUGCAAGUGAAGGGAUAAAAAGGUGUACGUGUGCAAAUGAGGGGAGAAGUGUUCGUGUGCAAGUGAAGGGAUAAAGGUGUACGUGUGCAAAUGAAGGGAUAAAAGGUGUACG
RNAcentral lists this long non-coding RNA (794 nucleotides) under Coffea arabica (coffee). RNAcentral describes it as "long non-coding RNA (CARA_LNC002988)". The record is from RNAcentral. Lineage: Eukaryota; Viridiplantae; Streptophyta; Magnoliopsida; Gentianales; Rubiaceae.